Molecule: transfer RNA, 74 nt
Filed under: Chloroflexi bacterium 13_1_40CM_4_68_4
Lineage: Bacteria; Bacillati; Chloroflexota
Description: tRNA-Val
Rfam family: tRNA
About the family: Transfer RNA (tRNA) molecules are approximately 80 nucleotides in length.
Source: RNAcentral
GGGCUCUUAGCUCAGUUGGUUAGAGCGCAGCGUUGACAUCGCUGAGGUCGCGUGUUCGAGCCACGCAGAGCCCA